This 253-nucleotide ribosomal RNA is filed under the name uncultured prokaryote. RNAcentral's name for it is "partial 16S ribosomal RNA". It matches the Rfam family "Bacterial small subunit ribosomal RNA", at positions 524 to 776 of the family's 1533-position model. The record is from RNAcentral.
UACGGAGGGGGCGAGCGUUAUUCGGAAUUAUUGGGCGUAAAGGGCGCGUAGGCGGCCUGGUAAGUCAAAGGUGAAAUCCCUCGGCUCAACUGAGGAAUGGCCUUUGAAACUGUCAGGCUUGAGGCCGGGAGGGGGUAGCGGAAUUCCCAGUGUAGCGGUGAAAUGCGUAGAUAUUGGGAGGAACACCAGUGGCGAAGGCGGCUACCUGGACCGGUACUGACGCUGAUGCGCGAAAGCUAGGGGAGCAAACAGG